Molecule: long non-coding RNA, 451 nt
Organism: Eubalaena glacialis (North Atlantic right whale)
Lineage: Eukaryota; Metazoa; Chordata; Mammalia; Artiodactyla; Balaenidae
Exons: 3
Source: RefSeq, a predicted model, not a curated record
CGCCGAGCUCGUGCGCACGCCGAGCUCGUGCGCACGCCGAGCUCGUGCGCGCCUGACCCGCGCAGUCCCAGGUGUACGCUCCCCAUCGCUCUCACCUGCCCAAAUCUCGGGGCCGCUGGCAUAACGCCGGGGAGAGCUCAGAGCGAGGCGGAGAUGGUAGAGACCACCCUCUACAUCUCCAACCGGAAGGCGCAUCUUACUACCCAGCAGAAAGAAGAAAACCUCUCUGGGCCAGGACAGCCCAGCCACUGAGAAGCCUCCAUAUUUUGGACGCCCAGCUCCUCCAAUGGACUCCUCGGUUAUUACAGCCCUUCCAAACUACUCCGUUUCCCUGUAAUAGUAAGCGCCCCUUCAUUAUUCUCUGGAUUUGCCGGUGGUCCGUCAUAGAUUACAAUUACUCCCUCUAUUCCUGAACUCACUUUUGCUGGAGGUGGAUCAACCCUUCCCCCCA